GCUACGGGAGGCAGCAGUGAGGAAUAUUGGUCAAUGGGCGCGAGCCUGAACCAGCCAAGUAGCGUGAAGGAUGAAGGCCCUACGGGUUGUAAACUUCUUUUAUAAAGGAAUAAAGUGAGGCACGUGUGCCUUUUUGUAUGUACCUUAUGAAUAAGGAUCGGCUAACUCCGUGCCAGCAGCCGCGGUAAUACGGAGGAUCCGAGCGUUCUCCGGAUUUAUUGGGUUUAAAGGGUGCGUAGGUGGGUUGUUAAGUCAGUUGUUAAAGUUUGCGGCUCAACCGUAAAAUUGCAGUUGAUACUGGCAGCCUUGAGUACAGUUGAGGUAGGCGGAAUUCGUGGUGUAGCGGUGAAAUGCUUAGAUAUCACGCAGAACUCCGAUUGCGAAGGCAGCUUACUAAACUGCCACUGACAUUGAUGCACGAAAGUGUGGGUAUCAAACAGGAUUAGAUACCCGAGUAGUC
RNAcentral lists this ribosomal RNA (460 nucleotides) under uncultured bacterium. Its description in RNAcentral is "partial 16S ribosomal RNA". It matches the Rfam family "Bacterial small subunit ribosomal RNA", at positions 338 to 795 of the family's 1533-position model. The record is from RNAcentral.